This 484-nucleotide ribosomal RNA is filed under the name uncultured bacterium. Its description in RNAcentral is "partial 16S ribosomal RNA". It matches the Rfam family "Bacterial small subunit ribosomal RNA", at positions 29 to 507 of the family's 1533-position model. The record is from RNAcentral.
AUUGAACGCUGGCGGCAGGCCUAACACAUGCAAGUCGAGCGGAUGAAGGGAGCUUGCUCCUGGAUUCAGCGGCGGACGGGUGAGUAAUGCCUAGGAAUCUGCCUGGUAGUGGGGGAUAACGUCCGGAAACGGGCGCUUAUACCGCAUACGUCCUGACGACGACAGUGUGGGAUCUUCGGACCUCACGCUGUCAUAUGAGCCUAGGUCGGAUUAGCUAGUUGGUGGGGUAAAGGGCUACCAAGACGACGAUCCGUAACUGGUGUGAGAGGAUGGUCAGUCACACGGGAGGUGAGACACCGUCCAGACUCCUACGAGAGGCAGCAGUGGGGAACAUGAGACAACGGGCGAGAGCCUGAUCCAGCCAUGGCGCGCGUGUUACGGAGGUGUUCGGAGUGUAAAGACCGCCAAGUUGGGAGGAAGGGCAGUAAGUUAAUACCUAGCUGUUGUGACGGUACCAACAGAAGAAGCACCGGCUAACUACGUG